Molecule: transfer RNA, 77 nt
Filed under: Effusibacillus consociatus
Lineage: Bacteria; Bacillati; Bacillota; Bacilli; Caryophanales; Alicyclobacillaceae
Also listed under: 11 other names
Description: tRNA-Pro
Rfam family: tRNA
About the family: Transfer RNA (tRNA) molecules are approximately 80 nucleotides in length. Their secondary structure includes four short double-helical elements and three loops (D, anti-codon, and T loops).
Source: RNAcentral
CGGAAUGUAGCGCAGCUUGGUAGCGCGCACGCUUCGGGAGCGUGAGGUCCAGGGUUCGAAUCCCUGCAUUCCGACCA